CUUGGUUUUGAUACUGAAAAUUCUUAGUAUUGAAAAACUCUAUCUUCAUUGAAUCUUUAAAGCUCAAAGCAUAGAGAAAAUUUGAAAAAGAAAGAACUCAAAUUAAAUUCUAAAAAUUGAAUGUCUUGGAUUUUCGUCUUGCUUGAUUUUGAUAAUUCAUUUUAAAUCUUUUUCUUAAGCUUUUUGAUGCUGUCAAAAAGGAGGAGAGUAUGAUGUUGAGUAUAUGCUUGAGAUG
Molecule: long non-coding RNA, 235 nt
Filed under: Elaeis guineensis (African oil palm)
Lineage: Eukaryota; Viridiplantae; Streptophyta; Magnoliopsida; Arecales; Arecaceae
Description: long non-coding RNA (EGUI_LNC021217)
Source: RNAcentral